This 447-nucleotide ribosomal RNA is filed under the name uncultured bacterium. RNAcentral's name for it is "bacterial SSU rRNA". It matches the Rfam family "Bacterial small subunit ribosomal RNA", at positions 355 to 825 of the family's 1533-position model. The record is from RNAcentral.
UGGGGAAUCUUGGACAAUGGGCGCAAGCCUGAUCCAGCCAUGCCGCGUGGAUGAUGAAGGCCUUAGGGUUGUAAAAUCCUUUCGUUGGGGACGAUAAUGACGGUACCCAAAGAAGAAGCUCCGGCUAACUUCGUGCCAGCAGCCGCGGUAAUACGAAGGGGGCUAGCGUUGUUCGGAUUUACUGGGCGUAAAGCGCGUGUAGGCGGACUUGUAAGUUGGGGGUGAAAUCCCGAGGCUCAACCUCGGAACUGCCUCCAAAACUACAAAUCUGGACCUAAGUAGAGGCAAGUGGAAUUGCGAGUGUAGCGGUGAAAUGCGUAGAUAUCAAGAGGAACACCUGAGGUGAAGACGGGUUGCUGGGCUGACACUGACGCUGAGGCGCGAAAGCGUGGGGAUCGAACAGGAUUAGAUACCCCAGUAGUCCCUGAGCGGGCUGGCAAGGCGCAU